Long non-coding RNA from Sinocyclocheilus anshuiensis, 438 nucleotides. RefSeq lists it as uncharacterized. The transcript has 3 exons. The record is from RefSeq and is a predicted model, not a curated record. NCBI's taxonomy places the organism in Eukaryota, Metazoa, Chordata, Actinopteri, Cypriniformes, Cyprinidae.
UCACGUGAUCGACAUUGUCUUAUUUUUUUCUCAUCGAGCGUUCGGUUGAGCGAUACGAUUAUUUGCGAUAUUUUCACGCGUAAAAGUGUUUUGUUUCGAUGAGUUUCUGUCUGUUCUUUUAAGUAUUUGAUAUUCAUGUAGAUGCCGGGAUUGAAAUAAGAGCAGGAAAUCUUUUGAGGAAGUGGAGUGACAGCCCCGCUGUUAAUCAAGAUGGCAGGUCUGUCUUUGUAUUUUGAAGAUGGUCAUGAUGAUUUGGAUGACUUUGGAUUCGAUGACUAUGGUUCAGAGUGUGAUGGGAUUCGGAUAACAGCAUUCCUGGAUGCAGGCCAGGAUAAUCUCACCCCUCUGGGCCGGCUGGAGAAAUAUGCUUUCAGUGAAAACGUCUUCAACAGGUGAGAUGUAAAGUGUGUGGUCUGCAGUGUAAAACAAGUAACUAUG